AGCAGCCGCGGUAAUUCCAGCUCCAAUAGCGUAUAUUAAAGUUGUUGCAGUUAAAAAGCUCGUAGUUGAAUUUUGGAUUCUGCCUAUCGGUCCGUCUUUUAGACGAGUACUGGUGGUGUAGGGUCUAUCUGCCUGAUGAUACGUAAUGUCCUUUAUUGGGUGUUGCGAGUAGUCAGGACCUUUACCUUGAAAAAAUUUAGAGUGUUUAAAGCAGGCUUAUGCCGGAAUACAUUAGCAUGGAAUAAUAGAAUAGGACGAAGUUGUUUAUUUUGUUGGUUUCUAGGACAACCGUAAUGAUUAAUAGGGAUAGUUGGGGGGCAUUAGUAUUCAAUUGUCAGAGGUGAAAUUCUUGGAUUUAUUGAAGACUAACUACUGCGAAAGCAUUUGCCAAGGAUGUUUUCAUUAAUCAAGAACGAAAGUUAGGGGAUCGAAGACGAUCAGAUACCGUCGUAGUCUUAACCAUAAACUAUGCCGACUAGGGAUCGGGCGAUGUUGUUUCCAUGACUCGCUCGGCACCUUA
Molecule: ribosomal RNA, 520 nt
Filed under: uncultured Archaeospora
Lineage: Eukaryota; Fungi; Glomeromycota; Glomeromycetes; Archaeosporales; Archaeosporaceae
Description: SSU rRNA
Rfam family: Eukaryotic small subunit ribosomal RNA
Source: RNAcentral